GAGAGCUGGACGAGGGGAGACCUUCACAUUCGGUUCAGAGGGCGGGGAUAUCCUGACCCUAC
Non-coding RNA from Cucumis melo (muskmelon), 62 nucleotides. The record is from Rfam. NCBI's taxonomy places the organism in Eukaryota, Viridiplantae, Streptophyta, Magnoliopsida, Cucurbitales, Cucurbitaceae.